UCAUUACCUACCAGGUAAACACAGGAUGCA
RNAcentral lists this non-coding RNA (30 nucleotides) under Mus musculus (house mouse). The record is from RNAcentral. Lineage: Eukaryota; Metazoa; Chordata; Mammalia; Rodentia; Muridae.